GUGGAUUUCAUGGACCAAGAGGCAGAAGCUUAUCGAUCACAGUUCUCUACACUCUUCCAUGAGGAGCAAAAAAUGGACAUAUCUCUGGGUCUUCACACUGGAAUGCACUUUCCCCAGAAACACACGUAGCAUGCCCCUCUUAUCUCCUUCCGAUCUUUAAUCAAAUGUCCUCUUACCAGCGUGAGCUUGUCACAGUCAAGAGGGACACUUUGAAGCAUGCACAGAAGCUGACAGAGUAGCUGCAGAUGAGAGACAGUUUGAAGACGGCCUUUGAAAAUAGACUUUUGCUCCAGAGAAGCUAAGAGAGGACAAA
Long non-coding RNA from Choloepus didactylus (southern two-toed sloth), 313 nucleotides. RefSeq lists it as uncharacterized. The record is from RefSeq and is a predicted model, not a curated record. NCBI's taxonomy places the organism in Eukaryota, Metazoa, Chordata, Mammalia, Pilosa, Megalonychidae. The transcript is spliced from 3 exons.